This 484-nucleotide ribosomal RNA is filed under the name uncultured bacterium. Its description in RNAcentral is "partial 16S ribosomal RNA". It matches the Rfam family "Bacterial small subunit ribosomal RNA", at positions 30 to 507 of the family's 1533-position model. The record is from RNAcentral.
AUUGAACGCUGGCGGCAGGCCUAACACAUGCAAGUCGAGCGGAUGAAGGGAGCUUGCUCCUGGAUUCAGCGGCGGACGGGUGAGUAAUGCCUAGGAAUCUGCCUGGUAGUGGGGGAUAACGUCCGGAAACGGGCGCUAAUACCGCAUACGUCCUGAGGGAGAAAGUGGGGGAUCUUCGGACCUCACGCUAUCAGAUGAGCCUAGGUCGGAUUAGCUAGUUGGUGGGGUAACGGCCUACCAAGGCGACGAUCCGUAACUGGUCUGAGAGGAUGAUCAGUCAAAAUGGAAAUGAGAAAAGGGCCAGACUCCUAAGGGAGGCAGCAGGGGGGAAUAUUGGACAAUGGGCGAAAGCCUGAUCCAGCCAUGCCGCGUGUGUGAAGAAGGUCUUCGGAUUGUAAAGCACUUUAAGUUGGGAGGAAGGGCAGUAAGUUAAUACCUUGCUGUUUUGACGUUACCAACAGAAUAAGCACCGGCUAACUUCGUG